This 691-nucleotide ribosomal RNA is filed under the name Bipolaris sp. 2a-C. RNAcentral describes it as "SSU rRNA". It matches the Rfam family "Eukaryotic small subunit ribosomal RNA", at positions 625 to 1322 of the family's 1831-position model. Lineage: Eukaryota; Fungi; Ascomycota; Dothideomycetes; Pleosporales; Pleosporaceae. The record is from RNAcentral.
AGCUCGUAGUUGAACUUGGGCCUGGCUGGUAGGUCCGCCUCACCGCGUGUACUUGUCCGGCCGGGCCUUCCUUCUGGAGAACCUCAUGCCCUUCACUGGGCGUGUUGGGGACCAGGACUUUUACUUUGAAAAAAUUAGAGUGUUCAAAGCAGGCCUUUGCUCGAAUACGUUAGCAUGGAAUAAUAGAAUAGGACGUGCGGUUCUAUUUUGUUGGUUUCUAGGACCGCCGUAAUGAUUAAUAGGGACAGUCGGGGGCAUCAGUAUUCAAUUGUCAGAGGUGAAAUUCUUGGAUUUAUUGAAGACUAACUACUGCGAAAGCAUUUGCCAAGGAUGUUUUCAUUAAUCAGUGAACGAAAGUUAGGGGAUCGAAGACGAUCAGAUACCGUCGUAGUCUUAACCGUAAACUAUGCCGACUAGGGAUCGGGCGAUGUUCUUUUUUUUGACUCGCUCGGCACCUUACAAGAAAUCAAAGUUUUUGGGUUCUGGGGGGAGUAUGGUCGCAAGGCUGAAACUUAAAGAAAUUGACGGAAGGGCACCACCAGGCGUGGAGCCUGCGGCUUANUUUGACUCAACACGGGGAAACUCACCAGGUCCNGAUGAAAUAAGGAUUGACAGAUUGAGAGCUCUUUCUUGAUUUUUCAGGUGGUGGUGCAUGGCCGUUCUUAGUUGGUGGAGUGAUUUGUCUGCUUAA